This is a long non-coding RNA of Bos indicus x Bos taurus (hybrid cattle), 730 nucleotides long. NCBI's taxonomy places the organism in Eukaryota, Metazoa, Chordata, Mammalia, Artiodactyla, Bovidae. The record is from Ensembl.
UAGAACAAUGCUGGAAUACACAGAGCAGUUGUUCUGUAGAUACACCCAUUGUCUCUGUAACUGAAGUUCCAAGCAGAGCACUGUCACAAGCAUAUUUAUGACAUAAUCCUCCUGGUCCACACACAGAGAGUACUAUGAACCUAUCGUAUACCUUGUUGUUCUUUUUUGGCAUUAACUUUGCUCUUAUUUCUCAAUUGAUAAAGGGGUUGAUGGUUUCCUGGCUAGACAUGGUAGAUGUCUGAAUCCUGUAAGACAACUGGAACCAAUUUAUCACUGGGCAGAAGCAUCUUCUACUAAUGGAAAUGGCAGAUGUCCAGCCUACCCUUCCAGGAAUGCUCUGGGCAUGGUUUGACACAGGAUACCUGCCAAGGAGUACCAAAAACAAGUCUCAGUGGAUCAGAAGCUCCUGAGAAGCUGAUGUCCUUAGAUUCCAUGUGUUCUUUCCCACAUCUGAUAUCAAUCAACAGAAGAAUGAACAGAAAGCCUAAGUGAAUGGCUAUACCAGCUCCCAUCUUUAACUUCUCACCCAGACUACUAUGCCUUUAUCAACUUUGAUUCUUCGUCUACUGAUAUACAAGCCAUGUCACAAACCCAUGAACAUCUGGAGCUUCAUGACCCCAGUAAGCCUGUGGCCCACAAUUCAGAGCUCUGCUUAGCUCUUUCUUGGGAGGGGGGAAGCUUCUGCCAGCCUUGUUUUAUUUUGCCGUUGGUUCAGGCUGAUGAUAGGCAA